AGGGCACCACCAGGAGUGGAGCCUGCGGCUUAAUUUGACUCAACACGGGGAAACUUACCCGGCCUGGACACUGGAAGGAUUGACAGAUUGAGAGCUCUUUCUUGAUUCAGUGGGUGGUGGUGCAUGGCCGUUCUUAGUUGGUGGAGCGAUUUGUCUGGUUAAUUCCGAUAACGAACGAGACUCUAGCCUAUUAAAUAGGCUCCCGGCUUUUAAACGCCGGGAGGACUUCUUAGAGGGACAGGUGGCGGUUCAGCCGCACGAAAGAGAGCAAUAACAGGUCUGUGAUGCCCUUUGUUGUCCGGGGCCGCACGCGCGCUACACUGAAGAGAUCAGCGUGCUUUAUGUUCCUGCUCCGACCGGAGUGGGGAACCCAGUGAACCUUCUUCGUGAUUGGGAUGGAAGAUUGUAAUUAUUCUUCUUGAACGAGGAAUUCCCAGUAAAUGCGAGUCAUAAGCUCGCGUUGAUUACGUCCCUGCCCUUUGUACACACCGCCCGUCGCUACUACCGAUUGAACGAUUU
Molecule: ribosomal RNA, 519 nt
Filed under: uncultured eukaryote
Lineage: Eukaryota
Description: SSU rRNA
Rfam family: Eukaryotic small subunit ribosomal RNA
Source: RNAcentral